Pseudophryne corroboree (corroboree frog) is the source of this 595-nucleotide long non-coding RNA. RefSeq lists it as uncharacterized. The transcript is spliced from 3 exons. NCBI's taxonomy places the organism in Eukaryota, Metazoa, Chordata, Amphibia, Anura, Myobatrachidae. The record is from RefSeq and is a predicted model, not a curated record.
GCAGGACACCAUGCGAGUCCCUGCAGCUUGCUGCUGGCCUCCACGCUUUCGGGUUUGCGUUCCAGCAGCUGGAACACAACACAGAACCUAUUACCUGCUCCGUCCUGCUGCCACUUCCGGGUGCCGUUAGCCGGGAGCAGUGUGUGCGGCUGCUGGGCUCGAGCUGUGUGUUAGUGGAAACAAUGUGACAGGCACACCUGUUUCCACUGCCAUUUGCUGUGUAUUGCCGGACAGAGCUGCCAGGGUGGUCAGAGGUGAAGCUGCUUAAUCACCAGCGUAAGACAGUGUGCUGGGAGAUGAGGAUGGUCUGAAGAUGGAAGACGAUCUGAUUGGAUAGUAUGGGGGCAGGUGGAAGGUGUACUGUGCCUUGCUGAACACUGUCUGCAAGUUAAGCAGGAAAGGUCCCAUCCAGGAAGGUAGUAAUCUGACUUAUUUAUAUCCAUUUGGAUCAGUGGACAAGAAUGCAAAAGAGAAAACACGGGAAAAGAGUAUGCAAUGCAAGACGCACGAACAAUGUAAAAUAAGAUGCACAACAACGUACAAUAAAGCAAAAAAAAAAGCAAAAUAAAUUAAAAGCAAAUUAAUAAAACAUAUA